GACGAACGCUGGCGGCGUGCUUAACACAUGCAAGUCGAGCGGUAAGGCCCUUUCGGGGGUACACGAGCGGCGAACGGGUGAGUAACACGUGGGUGACCUGCCCUCAGCUCUGGGAUAAGCCUGGGAAACUGGGUCUAAUACUGGAUAUGACUCCACGGUGCAUGUCGUGGGGUGGAAAGCCUUGUGCGGCUGAGGAUGGGCCCGCGGCCUAUCAGCUUGUUGGUGGGGUGAUGGCCUACCAAGGCGACGACGGGUAGCCGGCCUGAGAGGGCGACCGGCCACACUGGGACUGAGAUACGGCCCAGACUCCUACGGGAGGGCAGCAGUGGGGAAUCUUGCGCAAUGGGCGAAAGCCUGACGCAGCGACGCCGCGUGAGGGAUGACGGCCUCGG
Molecule: ribosomal RNA, 392 nt
Filed under: uncultured bacterium
Lineage: Bacteria
Description: bacterial SSU rRNA
Rfam family: Bacterial small subunit ribosomal RNA
Source: RNAcentral